This 494-nucleotide ribosomal RNA is filed under the name Ralstonia sp. A21-67. RNAcentral's name for it is "bacterial SSU rRNA". It matches the Rfam family "Bacterial small subunit ribosomal RNA", at positions 8 to 488 of the family's 1533-position model. The record is from RNAcentral. Lineage: Bacteria; Pseudomonadati; Pseudomonadota; Betaproteobacteria; Burkholderiales; Burkholderiaceae.
CAUAGUUUUUAUCCGGCUCAGAUUGAACGCUGGCGGCAUGCCUUACACAUGCAAGUCGAACGGCAGCGGGGGAGAAGCUUGCUUCUCCUGCCGGCGAGUGGCGAACGGGUGAGUAAUACAUCGGAACGUGCCCUGUAGUGGGGGAUAACUAGUCGAAAGAUUAGCUAAUACCGCAUACGACCUGAGGGUGAAAGUGGGGGACCGCAAGGCCUCAUGCUAUAGGAGCGGCCGAUGUCUGAUUAGCUAGUUGGUGGGGUAAAGGCCCACCAAGGCGACGAUCAGUAGCUGGUCUGAGAGGACGAUCAGCCACACUGGGACUGAGACACGGCCCAGACUCCUACGGGAGGCAGCAGUGGGGAAUUUUGGACAAUGGGCGAAAGCCUGAUCCAGCAAUGCCGCGUGUGUGAAGAAGGCCUUCGGGUUGUAAAGCACUUUUGUCCGGAAAGAAAUGGCUCUGGUUAAUACCUGGGGUCGAUGACGGUACCGAAGAAUAG